RNAcentral lists this ribosomal RNA (250 nucleotides) under uncultured bacterium. RNAcentral's name for it is "partial 16S ribosomal RNA". It matches the Rfam family "Bacterial small subunit ribosomal RNA", at positions 524 to 773 of the family's 1533-position model. The record is from RNAcentral.
UACGGAGGUCCCAAGCGUUGUUCGGAUUUACUGGGCGUAAAGGGUGCGUAGGUGGCCAGGAAAGUUUGAUGUGAAAGCUCCGAGCUCAACUCGGAAAAUGCAUUGAAUACUACUUGGCUUGAGGAUCGGAGGGGAGACUGGAAUUCUCGGUGUAGCAGUGAAAUGCGUAGAUAUCGAGAGGAACACCAGUGGCGAAGGCGAGUCUCUGGACGAUUCCUGACACUGAGGCACGAAAGCUAGGGGAGCAAAC